Molecule: long non-coding RNA, 984 nt
Organism: Papaver somniferum (opium poppy)
Lineage: Eukaryota; Viridiplantae; Streptophyta; Magnoliopsida; Ranunculales; Papaveraceae
Exons: 2
Source: RefSeq, a predicted model, not a curated record
GGUUAUGGUUGAAAGUAGAUGACAAGACGGGUAAAGCAACAAUGAAAGAUGGAUAUUUUGCCUUAACAAAGGGCAAAAAUUUUGCUUUCUGUACAGUUUUGAAGAAUUUAAAGGUGCCUUCAAAUUUUUGUACCAAUCUUCGCAACAAUGUUGGUACAAGUUCACCGGAGCUCAACGAUCCUGAGAUUUGGCUGCCCCGAAGCGGAGGUAAAAAUGUUGCCCUGUCGAUCCUCGUACCUUUUGCGGAUGUUAGCAAUGCAAAGGUGGUUUUACACGUAUUAGUGCUAGUAUUAGCAGCUUAAUUAACCGAGUAUGUCAAUUCGUAUCAUGUCUAUAACCCACAAAGAGUAUAAAACUUGAAGCGAACGUAAAACGGCAAAACACCUAUCCUGUAUCAGUGUCUUCUGGAUCAUUUCUUCCGGAUCACUUCAAGUACUCUCUCGUACCUUUUUUCUUCUUCUUCUUUAUCCGUUUGAUUUUGUUUUGGAGAGAAAGGCAAAGAUAUCAUUUCAUACUAAUAAUCUUUAUGCAAAGGAGUGUUAAACAAGUGAGUAUCUUCUUUCUCUCUUCCGAGUUAAAACGAAGCUACGAUCUUCUGAUGGCGAGUCGCGAGUAGUUCCCUACUGGGAUGCCGGACCUGUCUGCCGGGAGGGACCGAAUCAGGUCCAAUUUUUAAAUUCCUGCUUUACUUUUGGGGGAUGCUGAUACUUGUUGGGUCUUCACUGUUGGAUUUUUAUUUUACUCGAGUUUUAUUGGAUGCUGUUUGGAGAUGUAUCUUAGUAAUUACAUCUGUGGUAGUGAAAGUUAAUGAAGAAGCAAUUUUAAUUAUCGAAUCAAGGUUACUCUACGGGUUGUAAUUUUCUUAGCAGAAGGAAAUGUAAUGGUUCUCCUGUCCUUUAUUUUUUCCGGAGAAGAUGACCGAAUUAAAUCGGCCGUGUUAGUACUUGUUAAAUCGGUUUGUAAGAAAUUGUCAACAUUUUUCUU